Molecule: long non-coding RNA, 207 nt
Filed under: Gossypium barbadense (sea-island cotton)
Lineage: Eukaryota; Viridiplantae; Streptophyta; Magnoliopsida; Malvales; Malvaceae
Description: long non-coding RNA (GBAR_LNC020167)
Source: RNAcentral
GUUACUCUGCUUAAGUUUCUUCAAAUUUUGGUAAAGGAGACGGAGGGGAGGGAUUAAGUAAAUAUGUCCUCUUAGGAAACGGCACCGUUUAAGGUAAUUUUAAGUCUCGUUUGCGGCGUUUUUAAAACAAACGCCUCUAUUGUAUUCACAUUUGCGGCGUUUUAGACAAAAACGCCACUAAUAUUUUAAAGCACGUAAAGAAACAGC